Long non-coding RNA from Lucilia cuprina (Australian sheep blowfly), 156 nucleotides. RefSeq lists it as uncharacterized. The record is from RefSeq and is a predicted model, not a curated record. The transcript is spliced from 2 exons. NCBI's taxonomy places the organism in Eukaryota, Metazoa, Arthropoda, Insecta, Diptera, Calliphoridae.
AAAAAGUAAUUACAAAAGUGCUUUUAUUAAACAUAUUUAAUAGAAAUUAAUUAAAAUUACAAGAAAAAUCGCUUAAAUAAAGGAAGCUCUUAAUGAGGCAUAACUCUAGUGGAAAUCAAUUAUAAAGUUCUCAAAACAUAAAAAAGCAGCUGAAAA